RNAcentral lists this transfer RNA (71 nucleotides) under Bacillus sp. BF2-3. RNAcentral describes it as "tRNA-Cys". It matches the Rfam family "tRNA". Rfam says of the family: Transfer RNA (tRNA) molecules are approximately 80 nucleotides in length. Their secondary structure includes four short double-helical elements and three loops (D, anti-codon, and T loops). The record is from RNAcentral. Lineage: Bacteria; Bacillati; Bacillota; Bacilli; Caryophanales; Bacillaceae.
GGCGGGAUAGCCAAGUGGCAAGGCAGAGGUCUGCAAAACCUUUAUCACCGGUUCAAAUCCGGUUGCCGCCU